AGAUAAUUAUCUGUAAUCUACAUGCUUGAAUGCAGAAUUGCCAAGACACAUUUAAUCUCUGACUUUCAGAUUAAUAACUCUGUUCUGAGUAAUGUUUUACGUGUCACAACUAUUCAUAAUGCAUAAAACACUGGAUUUUGCACUGUGGCAAUUUCAGUCCAUGGUAAAAUAGUUGUUUUAAUCUGAGGUAUUGAAUGAUGAUAGAAAUGACAUUAAAGCAAUGUGUGAUCUAUAUUCUGCCAGUUAGCUUUUGUUGUCUCCCAUUUUUCAUAUGUGUUAUUCAUUGUUAUUCCCACUUUCAUAUGUGUUAUUCAUUGUUUCAAUCUCAGAGCAGGAAUACAGGACUGCAUUUCAGUAAAAUAUUCCAACGGAUUAAUACCUAUAUCAGAAACUGCUUGGCUGUACUUCAAUUAAAGAGAACUGCACAUCAAUUAAAUUGCUGCACAUCAAUUAAAGAGAACUCUUUUACUCUUUUGGGGAACAAGUGUUCAUCCAUGUGGAUCCCUACUCAUGAUAUUUGCUUGAAACACUUUAUUGUCCUUGAGGGGAAGCUCAUGCAGCCUUAGUGGCUAAAUAAGAUACUGAUUUUUUUUUUUUUUUUUAAGAACAAAACUAUUAUUUUUUAUUAUUUUCUAUUUCUCUAUAAAGUUUAAAGUCUUUUUCCAGGGUUUAGAAUGUGUGUGGAGUGGAUUAGGUACAGUAAGAUUCAGGAUAUCUUAUAUGAGUCCUUGUUCCAAGUUAGGCACUGCAGCAAUUAGAAUGUAGAUUUUCAUGCUGUGUAAAGCAUUUGGGCUACUUGUACAGGCCAUAGGGUAGGGUAGAUACCCAUGAAGAGUGAUUCAGGAAUUCACCAAAUGUUAACCUGUAAAUAGAUUUUGGUCCCUUCUGGAGUAUUGACACCUGACACCACAGGCUGAAUAUUUGCCUUGCUUCAAUACUCUUGGGAUGAAGGCUUUGUGUUCAUUUUUCUGAGCCUAAGUGCUUUCCUCAGCAGCACUUACCCUUGCUAAAGGAUACUUUUUGCUGUUAUUGAUGAUGCUUGCCCGUUCCUUAAUAGCUUAGUGUAUAGGUCACUUACUGAGGAAAUCAAGACACUAACAUUCUAGCCCACCCUGGUUAACCCAAAGGUUAGAUCUGCAGUUGUUACACAUCAAAAAA
Long non-coding RNA from Oxyura jamaicensis (ruddy duck), 1158 nucleotides. RefSeq lists it as uncharacterized. The transcript has 2 exons. Lineage: Eukaryota; Metazoa; Chordata; Aves; Anseriformes; Anatidae. The record is from RefSeq and is a predicted model, not a curated record.